RNAcentral lists this unclassified non-coding RNA (213 nucleotides) under Hevea brasiliensis (rubber tree). The record is from RNAcentral. Lineage: Eukaryota; Viridiplantae; Streptophyta; Magnoliopsida; Malpighiales; Euphorbiaceae.
UAUCUUACACAAGACUAUAUCCUGCAUUAAAUAUCAGCAAAAAUAAAUAAUAUAUUAGCACUUUCCUAGGUAUUUCCCUAAUAAAACAAAAUUUUACUUAUUGGAGGGCCACUGACCCCACCAGUACAUAACAGGGUCCACUAUCAUUUUCAUGUUUGAAAUUGAUGGUUGAGUCUUUCUUUUUUAUUUUUUUUAAUAUUCCUGGAAGGGGAA